RNAcentral lists this ribosomal RNA (468 nucleotides) under uncultured bacterium. RNAcentral's name for it is "partial 16S ribosomal RNA". It matches the Rfam family "Bacterial small subunit ribosomal RNA", at positions 28 to 507 of the family's 1533-position model. The record is from RNAcentral.
GACGAACGCUGGCGGCGUGCUUAACACAUGCAAGUCGAACGGAAAGGCCCUGCUUUUGUGGGGUGCUCGAGUGGCGAACGGGUGAGUAACACGUGAGUAACCUGCCCUUGACUUUGGGAUAACUUCAGGAAACUGGGGCUAAUACCGUAUAGGAUCUCCUGCUGCAUGGUGGGGGUUGGAAAUUUUCGGCGGUUGGGGAUGGACUCGCGGCUUAUCAGCUUGUUGGUGGGGUAGUGGCUUACCAAGGCUUUGACGGGUAGCCGGCCUGAGAGGGUGACCGGCCACAUUGGGACUGAGAUACGGACCAGACUCCUACGGGAGGCAGCAGUGGGGAAUAUUGCACAAUGGGCGGAAGCCUGAUGCAGCAACGCCGCGUGCGGGAUGACGGCCUUCGGGUUGUAAACCGCUUUCGCCUGUGACGAAGCGUGAGUGACGGUAAUGGGUAAAGAAGCACCGGCUAACUACGUG